CCAACUUUCUGGUAGAGAAUGCAGUGAUGACAUCACAGAGGGCCAACCAACUUUGGUAGAGAAUGCAGUGAUGACAUCACAGAGGGCCAACCAACUUUCUGGUAGAGAAUGCAGUGAUGAGUAAUAAAAUUGCCACCUGUAAUUAAGCACAGUGCACAAUGAUAAACUAUAAUAAAUCUAACGGCUUUAAUGAAGUGGCAGCUGAUUUCAUAUAGAUGAUGUCGCCAUAGUCUAGGACCAAUAGGGACGUCGACUGAAUAAUCUGCUUUCACUAUUCAACGAGGGACGGGACCUAUUUCUAUAGAAGAAGCCCAUGUUUAUCCUCAGCUUCUUAGCUAACUCAUCAAUAUGCUUUUUAAAAGACAGAUUUUCAUCUAUCCAAGAUGCCCAGAUAUUUACUUAGCAGGGACACGAUCAAUGUGUAGACACCAUCCAUGAUUAAAUCAUUAACGAUCUUUUUGUGCUCUCUAGAGAACAACACUAAGGUAGUUUUUAACAAUAGAUAGUAGCCUGGUGGAAAUAGCCUUACCAUUUGUUUCCCUUGAAUACAAUGUUGAACACAAUGACCAUGUUACCACAGAUGUGUAGGCUACAAUGAGGGUAGUUCUCGUCAACCCCCAAGGACACAUUCCCAGCCCUUCACAGUCCUUCCCAUCCUCCUCAGCCCUUCACAGUCCUUCCCAUCCUUCCUCAGCCCUUCACAGUCCUUCCCACCCUUCCUCAGCCCUUCACAGUCCUUCCCAUCCUUCCUCAGCCCUUCACAGAUCUUCCCAUCCUUCCUCAGCCCUUCACAGUCCUUCCCACCCUUCCUCAGCCCUUCACAGUCCUUCCCAUCCUCCUCAGCCCUUCACAGUCUUUCCCAUCCUUCCUCAGCCUUUCACAGUCCUUCCCAUCCUUCCUCAGCCUUUCACAGUCCUUCCCACCCUUCCUCAGCCUUUCACAGUCUUUCCCAUCCUUCCUCAGCCCUUCACAGUCUUUCCCAUCCUUCCUCAGCCCUGCACAGUACUUCCCAUCCUCUCCAGCCCUCCCCAGCCCUCCCCAUCCUUCCUCAGCACUUCACAGUCCUUCCCAUCCUUCCUCAGCCCUUCACAGUCCUUCCCACCCUUCCUCAGCUCUUCACAGUCCUCCCCAUCCUUCCUCAGCCCUUCACAGUCCUUCCCAUCCUUCCUCAGCCCUUCACAGUCCUUCCCACCUUUCCUCAGCCCUUCACAGUCCUUCUCAUCCUCCCCAGCCCUCGCCAUCCUUCCUCAGCCCUUCACAGUCCUUCCCAUCCUUCCUCAGCCCUUCACAGUCCUUCCCACCUUUCCUCAGCCCUUCACAGUCCUUCUCAUCCUCCCCAGCCCUCGCCAUCCUUCCUCAGCCCUUCACAGGUCUUUCCCAUCCUUCCUCAGCCCUUCACAGUCCUUCCCACCCUUCCUCAGCCCUUCACAGUCCUUCCCAUCCUUCCUCAGCCCUUCACAGUCCUUCCCACCCUUCCUCAGCCCUUCAGUCUUUCCCAUCCUUCCUCAGCCCUUCAGUCUUUCCCAUCCUUCCUCAGCCCUGCACAGUACUUCCCAUCCUCUCCAGCCCUCCCCAUCCUCCAUCUGCCCUUCACAGUCCUUCCCAUCCUUCCACAGCCCUUCACAGUCCUUCCCACCCCUCCUCAGCCCUUCACAGUCCUUCCCACCCUUCCUCAGCCCUUCACAGUCCUUCCCAUCCUUCCUCAGCCCUUCACAGUCCUUC
This is a long non-coding RNA of Oncorhynchus tshawytscha (Chinook salmon), 1722 nucleotides long. Lineage: Eukaryota; Metazoa; Chordata; Actinopteri; Salmoniformes; Salmonidae. The record is from Ensembl.